This 1057-nucleotide long non-coding RNA is filed under the name Gallus gallus (chicken). Its description in RNAcentral is "long non-coding RNA NONGGAT003143". The record is from RNAcentral. Lineage: Eukaryota; Metazoa; Chordata; Aves; Galliformes; Phasianidae.
GAUUUAUUGAAGGAAUGUUCUGUGGGUGAAGCAGACUUCCAGAGCGUGUUGAUAGAAAGUGAUUACCAACCUCAUAAAUAAGAGCAUUUGCACUGGCAAGAGUGAAUUAAGUGCAGAGUGUAUUAGAAGUGUGGGUCAUCUGAAGCCAAAACCCGAGGAGCAGAGCCUUCUAGCUCCAAGAAAUGCUCACAUGCUCUCCAUCCUCCCAGCUGCUUGCAACACGCGCUGAUGUGGCAAAGGGAGAAGAGCCUGUGCAGCCUAGGGGAGCUUUAAGCAUAUCAGCAGUUUUGUAUGCAGGAUAAAGCUGUGUCAGUACCGGAGGAGUGGGAGAAGCAGGGGAAGUCCCAGCUCAGCGCACAGAGGGGGACAGCCCUAGGGAUGGGGGGCUGCUCCCACUGCAGGUCUGCUCCUCGGCCUUCCCUUCACAUCAGCUGUGCCAAACACUGAGUGGAACCAUCUGAUAAAAGCUGGACGUGUAUCAAAGAUGUGCUGCGAGCGCCGUAACUCAGCCCUCAUCUGCAGUCCAGAAUUGCCAUCUGCUCAACAUGUCCUGCCCUGCUUCCUCACUGCAUGGAGGGCUCCGCGCAAAGCAUCCCCAGCGCCAGUUAUAAAACGAGCCCAGAAACCCGAGCCUCACCCCACUGCGUGUCUCCAGCCUUUUAUUGUUGCAGGGAGAAGAGAUGUGAGCCCAGGAGGAGCCGCACAGCCCCUGGAAAUCUCAGAAUACGGUCAGGGCCUUGGAGAGACUGAUUUAUGGGAUGGGACUGGAGCCUGGGGGUAUGGCUUGGUUUGGAGAGUUUCAAAAUCAGACCUUCUCUGCAGUUUGAAGAGGUCCUCCUGGAGUGCCUGCCAUCCUUCUCCCAUGGCUGUGCUGGGCUGGCUCUGGCUGGCAGGCCAAGGGCAAUGCAAUGGUGUUGGGAUGGGAUGCCGCCUGCCUGUACCACGCUUGUGGUUUCUGCACCAGAUCUGGACUCUUGUGGUGAAGAAAGUGCGUGCCUACAGAACAGCAUCCAGGGAAAAACUUGGCGUGCCAACCUAAGCACAUUUACUGCUGAUU